CACGUAGGGGACGAGCGUUGUCCGGAUUCAUUGGGCGUAAAGCGCGCGUAGGCGGCUCGGAAAGUCGGUCGUGAAAUGCCGGGGCUCAACCCCGGGACUGCGUCCGAUACUUCCGGGCUGGAGGUAGGUAGGGGAGAUCGGAAUUCCUGGUGUAGCGGUGAAAUGCGCAGAUAUCAGGAGGAACACCGGUGGCGAAGGCGGAUCUCUGGGCCUUACCUGACACUGAGGCGCGAAAGCUAGGGGAGCGAACAGG
RNAcentral lists this ribosomal RNA (253 nucleotides) under uncultured bacterium. Its description in RNAcentral is "partial 16S ribosomal RNA". It matches the Rfam family "Bacterial small subunit ribosomal RNA", at positions 524 to 776 of the family's 1533-position model. The record is from RNAcentral.